GACACUUUUCGGCCAGGGGGACAUUAUUUUGCAUGACAGGCCCUCCAACCAAAUCUCGCUUAGGGUCCCCAAAAGGUUAAAACCGGCCCUGUGGCAAACCAUAUACCAGAUUUUGUACAUGCAUUUUAAUUGCUGAAAUUGUUGAGUGCAAAUCCAACCCUUGUAAUUUAGGUACUGUAUGAAAAUAAGGAGAUGUCAAUUAGGCAACAGGAGAUGAGCACUGAAGGACCUAAGCCUUAGGAUCAUGUCUCAGGACUACCUGGCCUGACGACUCCUGGCUGUCCCUGUCCCCAGUCCACCUGGUUGAGGUGCUGAUCCAGUUUCUGCUGUUCUGCCUGCGGCUAUGGAACCCUGACCUGUUCACCGGUCGUGCUGCCUUGUCCCGCACCUGUGGCCUCGGGCCUCUGAAUGAAAAGACAACUGAUAUUUACUGCUGAGGUGGUACAGCAUCUGUUUACACCAACAUGCGCUUCCAACCCCUAGCUCUGCACAAGAUGAAGGUUAUCUGGAGUCAUUCCACAGUGCCUUGCUGAAAAAUACCCCAAAGUGGAGGCAUGUUGGGUACACAAGCACGAGGGAGCGGACACACCUUGAGGUUAUGGAGUACAAGAUUGUGGGACAGAAACCAGCAAGGGACACUGAAAAGGAGACAUUCCAGGAGUAAAUCUUCUGCAAGGGGACCAUUCGGUUGGUGGUUAAGAAGCCCUAGACCACUUUCAGCAGAGUCUUAUCCAGCUGUCCGUUCACUGCAGAUAGGACAAGACCAUUCGCCAUCAGCACAAAGUGUCUCAGCUUCCCCAGCCCACCAUGCCGAACACCACUGCCAGUGUACUGAAUCGGAUAAAGGACUAUGGCUGCGUUUAUACAGGCGGCCCAAUUCUGAUGUUUUUUUCACUAAUUGGUGUUUUGACCAAUCAGAUCAGUAUUGAAAAAUAUCUGACGUGGUUAAAACCAAUUCGUGAGAAAAUAUAACAGAAUUGGACUGCCUGUGUAAACACAGCUAGCAUGGCUCAGCAUAAGACCGUGUAGAACAGGGGUCUCCAAACCUCUUCUUCUUCUUCUUCUUCUAUGUUAUAAUGGCGUUCACAACUAUUAGAAGCGCAUUCCGCCACCUACUGUGUGGGUGGAUAAUAAGGAUCCCAAAAAGGAAAUCAUUUGGGUAAAAAUAAAUUAAACAUCAUACAAACUACCAAAAAAGAAAUUAACUAAACAAAAUCAACCUGCAUUUCUGUAAAAAAAAAACUCAUUCUAAUCAGGUCCUAACACAGCGACAAUAGUCCUUGUAGUGCUAGCGACAAUAGUCCUUGUAGUGCUUCUGCCAUGAAUUCUUGGAGACGCAAAAACAUCUCGGCUGCAGAUACACUGAUGUCCAGCUUCCUGGACUUCUUAGACACUUGUGCUGUACAAUUAAUCACUGUGGCUACAAAUGACAUGAAAUCCACUUUCUUCACAUUGAGUGUAUCCAGAUCACUCGAUUGACUUAAAACACUACCAACUGGUUUCAAUGCAUCCAACUCCAUAUCUUCAACACUGUUGCCUCUUCCUCCUUCAACUCUCUUCACCGCCUCCACAUAGGAGACCCGCUGCACAGCCCUGAUCCUUGACACCUCGAUCUCCUUCACCCGAACAGGGCACUCAAUGAAGUCCGGAGUAUGAUCCCCAUCACAGAUGUAACAUUUUUCAUUCACAGAUUCAUCUAUAUCAUACUUCUCCCAUCUGCAAACAUUUUGACACGUGACCAAAUCCUUUACAAUUUCCACACUGUAAUGGUUUGGACACAAAUGCAGUGUAUCGACAGGCUUUUCUCCUUCCUUCCAUUUACCAUACGGGUCAGGUGACGGGCACUGACCACUCCUGGGAUUUUCUGACUAAGGUACUCAUUAUCUAUAUCCAAUGAGACUCCAGCUAGAACUCCUUUGGCAGGCGCCUUGCUCCGAAGAUCAAUAAAUGUUACUUCUGACGUGGACAAUUUAGCCAGAUCCAGUAGACGCUUCUUCUGUUCUUCAUCGACACAAUUAACCAAAACAAGGCUGCUUCUAGUCACCUUGAUUUGAAUCCACCUUUUCCCACUGCUUUCUUCACAGUCCUCAAUAUUACAAAUGGAUUUCCCAAAGGAAUCUUCUUGUCCAAAAAACGCAGUCCAAUAAGAAAUGCAUUAUGCAUCCUUGUUUUCUACUACAGCUUUUGCUAAUUUUCUUCCAUUCUUUGAUUUCACUAUUUUCCAUUCCUUAUAACACACUUCACCUGCCUCACUUUCAGAUUCAAGCAGUCGCCAUUACCUCCUCCCUCCUAGGAAUCUGUCGAUUUGGACUACCUUACCUGAAAUAUCCAACCCUGUUCCUGAAGAGCUACCCUCCGGUAGGUUUUCACUCCAACCCCAAUUGUAACUAACCUCAUUCAGCUUAUCAACCAGCUAAUUGUUAGAAUCAGGUGUGCUAGAUUCAGGUUGGAGUGAAAACUUACAGGAUGGUAGCUCUCCAGGAACAGGGUUGGAGAGCCCUGAUGUAGAACCACCAUAAAAUAAAUAUGGAUAUUUUCUAUCAAUCUUUGAAAUGUGUCUGCCUUUAUGGAUUCACAGAAAUACUGCAAAAUUCUGUCAUCAUGAAGUGCUUUGAGAGGCUAGUUAAGGAUCAUAUCACCUCUAUCUUACCUGACACCCUAGACCCACUUCAAUUUGCAUACCGCCCCAAUACAUCCACAGACGAUGCAAUCGCAUACUGCCCUAUCCCAUCUGGAGAAGAGGAAUACCUAUGUAAGAAUGCUGUUCAUUGACUACAGCUCAGCCUUCAACACCAUAGUACCCUCCAAGCUCAUCAUUAAACUCGGGGCCCUGGGUCUGAACCCCGCUCUGUGCAACUGGGUCCUGGACUUUCUGACGGGCUGCCCCCAGGUGGUGAAAGUAGGAAACAACACCUCCACUUCGCUGAUCCUCAACACAGGGGCCCCACAAGGGUGCGUGCUCAGCCUUCUCCUGUACUCCCUGUUCACCCACAACUGCGUGGCCACGCCUCCAACUCAAUCAUCAAAUUUGCAGAAGACACCAAAGUAGUAGGCCUGACUACCAACAAUGAUGAGACAACCUACAGGGAGGAGGUGAGGGCCCUGGCGGAGUGGUGCCGGAAAAAUAACCUCUCCCUCAACAUCAAAAAAAUGAAGGAGCUGAUCGUGGACUUCAGGAGACAGAGGGAGCACGCUCCAUCCACAUUGAUGGGACUGCAGUGAAGAAGGUGAAAAGCUUCAAGUUCCUCGUCGUACACAUCACUGACGAUCUGAAAUGGUCCACCCACACAGACAGUGUGAUAAAGAAGGUGCAACAGCGCCUCUUCAACCUCAGGAGACUGAAGAAACUUGUCUUGGCCCCUAAGACCCUCACAAACUUUUACAGAUGCACAAAUGAGAGCAUCCUGUAGGGCUGUAUCACUGCCUGGUAGGGCAACUGCACCGCCCACAACCUCAGGACUCUCAAGAGGGUGGUGUGGUUUGCCCAACGUAUCACUGGGGGUACACUGCCUGCCCUCCAGGACACCUACAGCACCCGAUGUCACAGGAAGGUCAAAAAGAUAAUCAAGGACAUCAACCACCCGAGACAUGGCCUGUUCACCCGGCUAUUAUCCAGAAGGCUAGGUCAGUACAGGUGCAUUAAAACUGGGACCGAGAGGCUGAAAAACAGCUUCUAUCUCAAGGCCAUCAGACUGUUGAAUAGCCAUCACUAGCCGGCUUCCACCCGAUUACUCAACCCUGCACCUUAGAGGCUGCUGUCCUAUGUACAUAGACAUGGAAUCACUGGUCACUUUAAUAAUGGAACACUAAUCAAAUCAAAUUGUAUUAGUCACAUGCGCCUAAUCCAACAGGUGUAGACCUUACAGUGAAAUGCUUACUUACAAGCCCCUAACCAACAAUGUAGUUAAAAAAAAAGAAUAUGAAUAAGAAAUAAAAGUAACAAGUUGUUAAAGAGCAGCAGUAAUAUAACAAUAGGGAGACUAUAUACAGGGGGUACCGGUACAGAGUCAAUGUGCGGGGGCACCGGUUUAUUCGAGGUAAUUGAGGUAAAAUGUACAGACUGUCACGAUGUGACACUUUUGGGUGGAUAUCGUGGCUCCUCCCCUCUCUCUCUCCCACAUCAGGUUUUACAACAGUAAUACAUUCCUGGUAGAAACUCUCAGUAUGGAGGGAUGGAACCUAUAGAGAACAAAGACAUUCUUCUUGCCAAAACUCCUAAUCCCCAAAAUGGGAGAAUUAAACAAUAUUUAUAUUUUUUGAGAAUAUGGGAAUGGUCCGUGGACAAUUAAGGGACAGUCAAGUCGAGUAGCUUUCGUUUUGGGACAUCAUGAAAGACAGUAAGACAACAUAACUAUGUACAUUUCCCAGCUGUCAGGUUUACACCUGAAUGUUGCAUAAGAUGAAUGAUUAAGUAUAAUAAUACUUUUGAAAAGAUAACAAUAUGAUUUAGUCUUCUAAAUGAGAAUUGGUUGUUUUGGGGUAACUUAUGCAGUCAGUAGCCACGCCCAGGUUGGCACAAACAUGAUGAGACGGCCCCUUUUCUACUCAAGUAUAAAAGCCCCCGUGACGCAAUUCACACCAGACCACGCAAACCACGGUGUAAGCUAAGGUUGCAAAUGGUUGAAUUUAUAAGUCCAGAAAGAACAUGAGAGCUUGCUCCACACAUUUGAAAUGGUUGAAUUAAGAAGAUCAUAAAACAUGAAGCGGUAGCUACAUGUUAAAAUGGUUAAGAACUACAACUCUACCAAAGGACAAGACCAGAGAACGUGGAGAUCAUUCCCACGUUGAAAAAAAAAUCGACAAACUAAAGAACAAUUAUUUAGACUGCAGAUGUUUAAAUACUUCAGUCUGGUAAACGCAUCUGAUCCUAAGAACGUUUCCGAAUGGUACUCUGAAGUAUAACCUAAGACUUUGAUCUCUGGUGGACAAACCAGAGGCUAUUUGUCGACUGACUAUCCAGCAGAUGGACCGGCAAUCGCAGAGCGGGACAACAAAGGCAGACACUCGUAAAUAUGUAAAUAUGUAAAUUGAAAUUUAUUUUUGAAUGAGCGGUUGUUCAUGUUCAAAGUAUUAGCAAUUUCUAUGAGUGUAGUAAUCCUCUAUGAGUUUCCCGCUUUUGAGCAGUCCCCACCCACUUUCCUUUGUCUACCAAGCCGUCAUAUUGGUUUUGUCCGCUAGGGACUUUUUCUUUGUAUCAUGUAGAACCAAUGUAUGAACUAUUUGUGUGUGUGUGUUUAUGUACUUCUGUGAUUGAUUAAGUUAGUUAGUAAAUAAAUAAUUAAGCCAAUUUGUAUAAUCGCUGAUUCAUG
Molecule: long non-coding RNA, 5309 nt
Filed under: Salmo salar (Atlantic salmon)
Lineage: Eukaryota; Metazoa; Chordata; Actinopteri; Salmoniformes; Salmonidae
Description: lncRNA (ENSSSAG00000118582.1)
Source: RNAcentral